RNAcentral lists this ribosomal RNA (486 nucleotides) under uncultured bacterium. RNAcentral describes it as "bacterial SSU rRNA". It matches the Rfam family "Bacterial small subunit ribosomal RNA", at positions 28 to 507 of the family's 1533-position model. The record is from RNAcentral.
GAUGAACGCUAGCGGCAGGCCUAACACAUGCAAGUCGAGGGGUAACAUAGAAAAGCUUGCUUUUCUGAUGACGACCGGCGCACGGGUGCGUAACGCGUAUACAAUCUGCCUUAUACUGGGGUAUAGCCUUUAGAAAUGAAGAUUAAUCCCCCAUAGUCUCUACUUGUGGCAUCACAUAUAGAGUAAAGGUUACGGUAUAAGAUGAGUAUGCGUUCUAUUAGCUAGUAGGUAAGGUAACGGCUUACCUAGGCAACGAUAGAUAGGGGCCCUGAGAGGGGGAUCCCCCACACUGGUACUGAGACACGGACCAGACUCCUACGGGAGGCAGCAGUGAGGAAUAUUGGACAAUGGAGGCAACUCUGAUCCAGCCAUGCCGCGUGCAGGAAGACUGCCCUAUGGGUUGUAAACUGCUUUUAUACAGGAAGAAACACACCUACGUGUAGGUGCUUGACGGUACUGUAAGAAUAAGCACCGGCUAACUCCGUG